This 2046-nucleotide ribosomal RNA is filed under the name wastewater metagenome. Its description in RNAcentral is "bacterial LSU rRNA". It matches the Rfam family "Bacterial large subunit ribosomal RNA", at positions 3 to 2029 of the family's 2925-position model. The record is from RNAcentral.
UUAAGCUACUAAGGGCACACGGGGGAUGCCUUGGCGUCAAAUGCCGAAGAAGGACGUGCAGCGCUGCGAAAAGCUGUGGGGAAUUGCGCUGGAGUGUUGAUCCACAGAUAUCCGAAUGGGGAAACCCGGCCUGAGGAAAGUCAGGUCAGCCAUUGGUGAACACAUAGCCAGUGAGCGGGGAACUCGGGGAACUGAAACAUCUAAGUACCCGGAGGAGAAGAGAGAAUUCCGUAAGUAGUGGCGAGCGAAAGCGGAGGAGCCCAAACCAAGAUGGGGAGACCUGUUUUGGGGUUGUAGGACAGACAACAAGCGCCAGUUGAUAGUGGAAUGGUAUUGGGAAAGCCGACCAUAGAGGGUGAGAGUCCCGUACACGAAAUUGACGAAGCGCGGGUUUGUAUCCUGAGUACUGCGGGGCACGCUAACCCUGCAGGAAGCUGGGGGGCCCACCCUCCAAGGCUAAAUACACUUGACGACCGACAGUGAACCAGUACCGUGAGGGAAAGGUGAAAAGCACCCCUGCUAGGGGAGUGAAAUAGAACCUGAAACCGUGUGCUUACAAGCAGUCAGAGCCCGAUGCCGGGGCAACUCGGCGGGGUGAUGGCGUGCCUCUUGGAGAAUGAGCCGACGAGUUACUUUCAGUGGCAAGGUUAAGGCAGAUACAGCCGGAGCCGAAGCGAAAGCGAGUCUGAAAAGGGCGUGUAGUCGCUGGGAGUAGACCCGAAACUGGGUGAGCUAUCCAUGGCCAGGGUGAAGUGGGGGUAAAACCUCAUGGAGGCCCGAACCGUUGUAUAUUGCAAAAUGCUCGGAUGAGCUGUGGAUAGGGGUGAAAUGCCAAACGAACCCAGAGAUAGCUGGUUCUCGCCGAAAUAACUUUAGGGUUAGCGUCAUACCGUUACUAGCGGAGGUAAAGCACUGAAUGGGGUAGGGGCCUACACGGCUACCGAACCCAAUCAAACUCUGAAUGCCGCUAGUAUGAGGAUGGCAGUCGGACUACGGGAGAUGAGUUUCGUGGUCGAGAGGAAAAGAAUCCAGACCGUCAGCUAAGGUCCCGGAGUGAUAGCUAAGUGGGAAAGGAUGUGGGGUUACCGAGACAGCCAGGAGGUUGGCUUAGAAGCAGCCACCCUUGAAAGAGUGCGUAAUAGCUCACUGGUCUAGUGAUCCUGCGCCGAAAAUAUAACGGGGCUCAAGCUAUCCACCGAAGCUACGGGAUGUGCAGUGACUUUGGUCAUUGUAGAUCAGUAGGCGAGCGUUCCCGAGCGGAGAAGCCAUACCGGAAGGAGUGGUGGAGCGAAGGGAAGUGAGAAUGUUGGCACGAGUAGCGAGAACUGUGUGAGAAUCACAGUCCCCAUAAGUCUAAGGUUUCCGACGGAAGGUCAAUCCGCGUCGGGUUAGUCGGUCCUAAGGUGAGGCUGAAGAGCGUAGCCGAUGGAUAACUGGUUAAUAUUCCAGUACUGCGUAAGUUCGUUAUGAGCGAAGGGGUGACAUGGGAAGGUAGGUUGGCCGGCGGUUGGAAGUGCCGGUGCCAAGCCUGUAGGCGUUGAGAGCGGGGUUAAAAGACCGUUUGAGCUGAGGGGUGACGGCGAGCCUGUAACAGGGCGGAAGCAACUGAGCCUAUACCAUCAAGAAAAGCCUCUAGCCAGAGCUGCGUAACCGUACCGCAAACCAACACAGGUAGACGGGUAGAGAAUACCAAGGGGAACGGGAGAACCUCUGUUAAGGAAUUAGGCAACAUAGCCCCGUAACUUCGGGAGAAGGGGCGCCCUGGUAGGUUGAGGAUAUGCACAUGUCCGAGGCUGAGAGGGCCGCAGAGAAAUGGCUCUAGCGACUGUUUACCAAAAACACAGGUCUGUGCGAAGCUGGAAGGCGAAGUAUACAGGCUGACGCCUGCCCAGUGCCGGAAGGUUAAGGGGAGAGGUGAGAGCUUCGAACUGAAGCCCCGGUGAACGGCGGCCGUAACUAUAACGGUCCUAAGGUAGCGAAAUUCCUUGUCGGGUAAGUUCCGACCCGCACGAAAGGCGUAACGACUGGAGCACUGUCUCAACAGAG